Molecule: ribosomal RNA, 402 nt
Filed under: uncultured Mycoplana sp.
Lineage: Bacteria; Pseudomonadati; Pseudomonadota; Alphaproteobacteria; Hyphomicrobiales; Rhizobiaceae
Description: bacterial SSU rRNA
Rfam family: Bacterial small subunit ribosomal RNA
Source: RNAcentral
UGGGGAAUCUUGCGCAAUGGGCGAAAGCCUGACGCAGCCAUGCCGCGUGUAUGAUGAAGGUCUUAGGAUUGUAAAAUACUUUCACCGGUGAAGAUAAUGACUGUAGCCGGAGAAGAAGCCCCGGCUAACUUCGUGCCAGCAGCCGCGGUAAUACGAAGGGGGCUAGCGUUGCUCGGAAUUACUGGGCGUAAAGGGAGCGUAGGCGGACAUUUAAGUCAGGGGUGAAAUCCCAGAGCUCAACUCUGGAACUGCCUUUGAUACUGGGUGUCUUGAGUGUGAGAGAGGUAUGUGGAACUCCGAGUGUAGAGGUGAAAUUCGUAGAUAUUCGGAAGAACACCAGUGGCGAAGGCGACAUACUGGCUCAUUACUGACGCUGAGGCUCGAAAGCGUGGGGAGCAAACA